RNAcentral lists this long non-coding RNA (436 nucleotides) under Spirodela polyrhiza (greater duckweed). Its description in RNAcentral is "long non-coding RNA (SPOL_LNC002517)". The record is from RNAcentral. Lineage: Eukaryota; Viridiplantae; Streptophyta; Magnoliopsida; Alismatales; Araceae.
GAGGGCGGCUCCGACUCUCUCACUUGUGGUAAAGGCAUCGAUGCCCCUCCCUGCCCCUCGUUGGGAAGCUGAAGUGGCAGCCAAAGCUAGACCUCCAGUCCUGUAAAUCAUAUGAGACGGGCGGCCCGUCUAAUCCCAAUCUAGACCUCCAGUCCUGUAAAUCAUAUGAGAGGCGCGGACCUCCAGUCCGCGCCGAAUUCUAAAUUUGUGAUUUGAGAGUCGAAUUGGGAAAAGAAUCUACCACUUUUGGUACUUCAAUAAUCAUCAGGAGCGCAUGAUUUCACAAAAUUAUUACCAUUAAAUAAUCUUAUGGAAAACACGAGUAUCCUACACAAUCUUCCUUGAUUACCAUAAUAAUGCCGAAUUAACCAAUUCUGUAAUUUAUUGUGGACAAUUGGCCGAUCUAGAUCUAAAUCAACUUUGAUAGAGCAUAAUA